Molecule: ribosomal RNA, 627 nt
Filed under: uncultured bacterium
Lineage: Bacteria
Description: bacterial SSU rRNA
Rfam family: Bacterial small subunit ribosomal RNA
Source: RNAcentral
UGGCGGAUGGGCAUGCGGCGCAUUAGCUAGUCGGCGGGGUAACGGCCCACCGAGGCGACGAUGCGUAGGGGUUCUGAGAGGAAGGUCCCCCACACUGGUACUGAGACACGGACCAGACUCCUACGGGAGGCAGCAGUGAGGAAUAUUGGUCAAUGGGCGCGAGCCUGAACCAGCCAAGUCGCGUGAGGGAUGACGGUCCUACGGAUUGUAAACCUCUUUUGCCGGGGAGCAAGCGUGCGUUCGUGAACGCGCGUCGAGAGUACCCGGAGAAAAAGCAUCGGCUAACUCCGUGCCAGCAGCCGCGGUAAUACGGAGGAUGCGAGCGUUAUCCGGAUUUAUUGGGUUUAAAGGGUGCGUAGGCGGGAUGCCAAGUCAGCGGUAAAAAUGCGGUGCUCAACGCCGUCGAGCCGUUGAAACUGGCGUUCUUGAGUGGGCGAGAAGUAUGCGGAAUGCGUGGUGUAGCGGUGAAAUGCAUAGAUAUCACGCAGAACUCCGAUUGCGAAGGCAGCAUACCGGCGCCCUACUGACGCUGAGGCACGAAAGCGUGGGUAUCGAACAGGAUUAGAUACCCUGGUAGUCCACGCAGUAAACGAUGAAUGCUAACUGUCCGGUGCGAGUGAGCGCUGG